UGUGAAUUUCUGCCUCUGGUGUAUCUCUUCUCUACAUGCCUCAAAGUGUUUACAUUUCAGCUCAUUUCUCACAUUUGUGUUUUCAUGGGGGAAGAAAAGAUCCUGGUGAAGAGAUGGAAAGAUGGGCAGGACAUCAAGGAAGGAUACCAGGGAAUAGCAAGAACUUGCAAGGACCAACUCAAGAAGGAAAAGGUUGCAAUAUCUUGGCUGUUUAAAAGCUAAUUCAGUAUGACAGACUGAAGGGAAAACAGAUCUCUGCUUCUGUUCCUCCUGCCUCUUUCGAAGAAAUGUAAACAGGGCAAAAGACCCCAAAACAAAUCCAUUAAUAAAGCCAAACUGUGAUUUAGAGUGCAGUAGAAAAUUAGUUUGUCUUACAUAUUGUGUUUAGCAAAGCUUAUGUACAAUGACUUUCAAACUGGAUACUGCCUUGUAUAUGGUAAGCCAUUUUAAUAAAAACAAUUCCAUAUU
Molecule: long non-coding RNA, 468 nt
Organism: Gavialis gangeticus (Gharial)
Lineage: Eukaryota; Metazoa; Chordata; Crocodylia; Gavialidae
Exons: 3
Source: RefSeq, a predicted model, not a curated record